Molecule: non-coding RNA, 524 nt
Organism: Pantherophis guttatus
Lineage: Eukaryota; Metazoa; Chordata; Lepidosauria; Squamata; Colubridae
Source: RefSeq, a predicted model, not a curated record
UAGAAAUUCAUAGAGACAAAGGUUCACAGUUCAUUGAUUUUAUUAACCUCCACAACAGUUUCCUCAACUUUCAUUUCCAUGGACGUGACCUAGCAGUAGAGGAGCUGUGACCUCCCAUCCUCCGCCGUUGAUCCACCUAUAUUCAAUGAUGGGUGAAGAUCAUUGGAAGAAUGGACCUCUCUACUAUGAAGUUCUCCUUUGAGUUUUGAAGAUGGCACUGAGACUGCGUGUGUUGUGUAGCAGAUGCUAACUAUGGUAUAAUUGGUUUUAAUUUGCUGCAGCAGGCUGUUUAGAAGCUUGGACAAAAUUCCACGUGGUGCCUGAAUCCCGCCUGCUUGUUUGAGCUGUCACUGACUGACUAUCAUCUCCCCAGGAUAGAUGAACAAUGAAACACUGCAAAUCCAUGAACUCUACUGAUGGAUAGACUAGGAUUUUUGAUGGGAAAGUGUUUUUUCUUGUAUCUAUGGGACCUUUAUAUGUCCCCAAUUACAUGCCACCCAUUUAAGGCAAGCAUAAGAUAAAGA